RNAcentral lists this transfer RNA (69 nucleotides) under Rhoptropus benguellensis. Its description in RNAcentral is "tRNA-Trp". Lineage: Eukaryota; Metazoa; Chordata; Lepidosauria; Squamata; Gekkonidae. The record is from RNAcentral.
AAGCUUAGGUUAACCAAGCUAAACCGGGAGCCUUCAAAGCCCCAAAAAGAGAUAUAACUCUAGCUUCUG